AACGCACAUUGCGCCCUUUGGUAUUCCGAAGGGCAUGCCUGUUCGAGCGUCAUUAUCACCCCUCAAGCUUUGGGCUUGUUGUUGGACCUUGGUCGGUAAUACGACCGGUCCCAAAGACAAUGACGGCGUCUGUGGGACCCUCGGUGCAAUGAGUUUUUCACGAAACACGCACUGCAGCGGCUCGACAACCCCGGUCACCACCUUUAAUUUUUCUUUAAGGUUGACCUCGGAUCAGGUAGGAAUACCCGCUGAACUUAA
RNAcentral lists this unclassified non-coding RNA (258 nucleotides) under Lyophyllum sp. RNAcentral describes it as "partial contains 5.8S ribosomal RNA, internal transcribed spacer 2, and large subunit ribosomal RNA". The stretch from base 1 to 52 matches the Rfam family "5.8S ribosomal RNA", at positions 103 to 154 of the family's 154-position model. The record is from RNAcentral. Lineage: Eukaryota; Fungi; Basidiomycota; Agaricomycetes; Agaricales; Lyophyllaceae.